AGCGAACGCUGGCGGCAGGCUUAACACAUGCAAGUCGAGCGGUAAGGCCCUUUCGGGGGUACACGAGCGCGAACGGGUGAGUAACACGUGGGUGACCUGCCCUCAGCUCUGGGAUAAGCCUGGGAAACUGGGUCUAAUACUGGAUAUGACUCCACGGUGCAUGUCGUGGGGUGGAAAGCCUUGUGCGGCUGAGGAUGGGCCCGCGGCCUAUCAGCUUGUUGGGGGGUGAUGGCCUACCAAGGCGACGACGGGUAGCCGGCCUGAGAGGGCGACCGGCCACACUGGGACUGAGACACGGCCCAGACUCCUACGGGAGGCAGCAGUGGGGAAUCUUGCGCAAUGGGCGAAAGCCUGACGCAGCGACGCCGCGUGAGGGAUGACGG
Molecule: ribosomal RNA, 383 nt
Filed under: uncultured bacterium
Lineage: Bacteria
Description: bacterial SSU rRNA
Rfam family: Bacterial small subunit ribosomal RNA
Source: RNAcentral